RNAcentral lists this non-coding RNA (349 nucleotides) under Klebsiella sp. RIT-PI-d. The record is from RNAcentral. Lineage: Bacteria; Pseudomonadati; Pseudomonadota; Gammaproteobacteria; Enterobacterales; Enterobacteriaceae.
GGGAGUGACAAAGAAGUGAACAUCAGGAUGAUGACGCUUCGCAGGAAUACACCGGGACGGUGUUUCAGGAUGAAUCAGGGAAAUAUGCUGGACGCAUAGCAAGGACACCUCCAGGAAGGAGAACGUGAGCCGAACAGGAUGCUCGGCGGGUCAGGAAGGCCAGGGACUCGCUUAUGGACAAGUGUUAUCGCAUCGGGGUGGUGUGAGCAGGACGCGUCGUUUAAGGAUGAACAGGUCAGGAGACCGACAGGAAUAGUUGUCAUGGAUGAGCAGGGAGCAUCAUAAAAAGUAGCUGGAUGGCUGCGAAACGAACCGGGGGCACUGUUUAACAGUGCCCCCUUUUUUUGUU